CGGGAUCUACCUUUUCGUGGGGGAUAACGUAGGGAAACUUACGCUAAUACCGCAUACGCCCUACGGGGGAAAGCGGCGGACCGCAAGGCGUCGCGCGAUGAGAUGAACCGAUGUCCGAUUAGCUAGUUGGCGGGGUAAAGGCCCACCAAGGCGACGAUCGGUAGCUGAUCUGAGAGGAUGAUCAGCCACACUGGAACUGAGACACGGUCCAGACUCCUACGGGAGGCAGCAGUGGGGAAUAUUGGACAAUGGGCGCAAGCCUGAUCCAGCCAUGCCGCGUGGGUGAAGAAGGCCUUCGGGUUGUAAAGCCCUUUUGUCCGGAAAGAAAAGCACGGGAUUAAUACCCUCGUGUGAUGACGGUACCGGAAGAAUAAGCACCGGCUAACUUCGUG
Molecule: ribosomal RNA, 392 nt
Filed under: uncultured bacterium
Lineage: Bacteria
Description: bacterial SSU rRNA
Rfam family: Bacterial small subunit ribosomal RNA
Source: RNAcentral